Molecule: long non-coding RNA, 2145 nt
Organism: Branchiostoma belcheri (Belcher's lancelet)
Lineage: Eukaryota; Metazoa; Chordata; Leptocardii; Amphioxiformes; Branchiostomatidae
Exons: 3
Source: RefSeq, a predicted model, not a curated record
CAGAGAAGAAACUGCAGAACCGGCCAAUGGCACAGCCUUACAGAGACAAUCCAGCUGCUACCCAAGUCCACUAUUGCAGAGUGUUGAUACACAGGUAAUAUUCUAGCACUCUGAGAAUAUUGCAUUCCUAGCUGUAUUUUAUAGGUGUUCUGUCAUGUCAUAAACAUUCCACUAAUCUCAGCUUACUUUCAGAAGAGGCUACAUUAUUAGGAUUGGAAGAGGGACACCAUGUUGGUCAGGGAGGGCCCCGGCUACAUUGAAGAAUAACAAUCAUUGUGGAUUAUCCAUCACCAGGACAGUGAGGCUCUGAUGGGAAUGAUCAUCCAUGAGAUGCUACAGUACCUGUUCUACUUGAUCUUGUCCCAUGUCAAGUUGGUAACAAGGGGUCUACCUGAAGGAAGAUGUAGAACUUGUAAUGGCCGGGGGUGGUUGCGCAAUGGCUCCCAAAGUGUGAUGUCUUUCCUGCAGUCUGCAUGCGUGUAUCUACAAGCAAUAUGUAAGUCUGCAAUGGCACCUCUACACCUGGCAUGGAAACAGGUGUUUCGCCAGUUUGAAGAUCCCAGUCUUAUGACUUACAUAGGGGUCCUACUGUACAAUAGUACAAAUGUUUUAGUUCUCAUACUUCUCUUCAACCUUGUAUGGUACAAUGACUAUGUCCAGUGUGAUAGCUCUUCACUUAGUUUGCAAUGUACCUUUCUCAUUGUUCCUUUUGUGAAGGGCCACUUCUGUGGCCAGCAUACAUCAGCCUAUCGGCAAAAACUCAAAGAAAUGUAUGAAUGUUGCAAGACACUCAGAAAGAAAAAGACAAGGGCAGAGUUGAAGAGAUGCAUCUCCUUUGCAAAUGUCAGGUACACCGAUGUACGGAACUGCAUCAUAGUAUCUUUGGGUUUUGAACUGUUACAGUGGGCAAUCAUUUUCUAUUGUACUGCUACAGGAGUCCUUAAUGUUACCACACUCCCCACAUUAUUCACUUUUCAGCUGAUCAUUUUGUUUCUCCACAGUUGUUACCUUGUAGCUCAUUUAUGGCUUUACUACCAUGACUCUACUAUGUACACUCUCAUACAAAUGAACAGAUUCCACUAUCCAGAAUUGAUGGAAGACAGUAAUUUUCACACUUAUCAUAAGGAGUUGAUAAACUUUGUGGGUUGGUACUAUAAGACAGGACAGUUCAAGUAGAUGAUUUUUGUUUCUCAUACACUUCGAGUUUUUUAGUUGAUUGUACCUUAAAAGGUGCAUGAAAUUUACUGAAAAGUAUUUCCUGUUUUCAUGUUAAGGAAAUCCUUUGUAGUAAAUUUCCAAGUUCCGUAAUGUUAUCUCUAAUCCUCAAUCAACUGUUAUACCCCAAACAAUAACAGCCCACUUCAGUGCCAAGCAUUGGCAUGCGGCAAAGAUCAUGAUGGUCAUGAUAAUACUCAGCAAAUCUGCCAAGUAGCAAUACAUUUCUAAGGAGGUAAACAGUUUUCCCUUAAUAAGGGAUGUUUCUUUAGUUAGGCUUAUCACUAUCAGGACAUGUCAUACAUGUUAUGAGCUAUACUUUGUGGACUAAGAAAAAGUCUUCAUCUUUAAAAUGCAGCCUUAUCUCAAUAAGAGAUGUUUUGAUCUCAUGAAUGGCUCGUGUGUACAGUUAUCAACAUUUUGAUGCAUGUAUAAAAGGUAUUUACCGCAAGCCAAAAAAGUAAUAUAAAUUUUAUAAAUCGUAAUGUGUUUCUUAAGAUGCAGAGCACUAUGUAAAUAAUACUUUUAUAUACUGUUAGUAAGUUGUACAUAUAACGUUACAUGUAUAUAUCAUGUACUGCAAAUAUAUACAGUGCAUAGCAUUGUCAGUUGCAGCUUUCAAAAAAAUAUUGUAAUGGUCUUUAAGACCAGACUAUAUCUCAUGUAACGUACAGAAUGUGUGGCUACUUUGAAUCUUUUACAAUGACUGUGUCAUUUUGUAUUCAUGUAUAAUAUAUGAUAUGUAUAUGAUAAUCAUAAUAUACGUAAUUAUACAAAAUUGAUGACAAGAAAAGCAAGUUUUUGAACAAGUUUGAGGAAUAAGCCUUUGGUUCUGUAGAUGCAGGCUAAGUUAACAUACUAUACAAAAGACAUCGUACGGUUGUAUGAUGGUAAGUUUUGUGCUUUUGGACAAACUUGAAUAAAAUAUGA